RNAcentral lists this ribosomal RNA (468 nucleotides) under uncultured bacterium. RNAcentral's name for it is "partial 16S ribosomal RNA". It matches the Rfam family "Bacterial small subunit ribosomal RNA", at positions 28 to 507 of the family's 1533-position model. The record is from RNAcentral.
GACGAACGCUGGCGGCGUGCUUAACACAUGCAAGUCGAACGGAAAGGCCCUGCUUUUGUGGGGUGCUCGAGUGGCGAACGGGUGAGUAACACGUGAGUAACCUGCCCUUGACUUUGGGAUAACUUCAGGAAACUGGGGCUAAUACCGGAUAGGAUCUCCUGCUGCAUGGUGGGGGUUGGAAAGUUUCGGCGGUUGGGGAUGGACUCGCGGCUUAUCAGCUUGUUGGUGGGGUAGUGGCUUACCAAGGCUUUGACGGGUAGCCGGCCUGAGAGGGUGACCGGCCACAUUGGGACUGAGAUACGGACCAGACGCCUACGGGAGGCAGCAGUGGGGAAUAUUGCACAAUGGGCGGAAGCCUGAUGCAGCAACGCCGCGUGCGGGAUGACGGCCUUCGGGUUGUAAACCGCUUUCGCCUGUGACGAAGCGUGAGUGACGGUAAUGGGUAAAGAAGCACCGGCUAACUACGUG